AAAAAAAAAAGAAAUUGAAGAAAUCACUUCAACAGAAGAACAAAGUGAUUUAAAACGAAAAACUAAAAAAAAAGAAAGUGAAGAAAUCGCUUCAACGGAAGAACGAAUUUAAAACGAACAACUACAAUGCUUGAAACAGAUAAGACGACUUUUUCAUAACUGGGCAGAAAACAGCAAAUAAGUCAGAUUUUUAGCGACUUUUCAUAAGUGGGUAAAAAACAGCAGAAAAGUAAGGCUAUUAUACCCUUAACUUUUCGUCCAUUUUUAGCGACUUUUUCCAUUUUUCGUAAAGGGACAAAAAACAGGUUAGAUGCUGUUCUUGUUUGCCUGCGAACAAGUUGUAGAUAUGUCGAUACUUGUACCCAAGCCAUUGUUUGUUUUGUUGUUCUCAUGGGUACAAUGAAAUCCGGCAUAAAUCCUGGGGGUCUAAAUGUUCAGUAUAUUUACACAUUCGAUCUAUUUUCUGUUCAGUAGACUUUGAUAGCUUCAACGAAAGUUUAUAACAAUGA
Paramuricea clavata is the source of this 509-nucleotide non-coding RNA. NCBI's taxonomy places the organism in Eukaryota, Metazoa, Cnidaria, Anthozoa, Malacalcyonacea, Plexauridae. The record is from the annotation of a GenBank genome assembly.